Long non-coding RNA from Pseudopipra pipra, 931 nucleotides. RefSeq lists it as uncharacterized. NCBI's taxonomy places the organism in Eukaryota, Metazoa, Chordata, Aves, Passeriformes, Pipridae. The transcript has 6 exons. The record is from RefSeq and is a predicted model, not a curated record.
UAAAAAAAAGUUGAAGGUACUUAAUGUCCAGCAAAAUCAUCUGCCCCAUGGUAAAUGCCUGUCAACAAGAAGACGUGUAUCUACUCUGAAAGCAGAGUUCAGAGUAUAUAUAUGUAACUGCAACUCAUAUUUUGUCCUUCUGACAAUACGUUGACCUAGAACUUUCACAUUGUCAUCUUUUUCUGCUUUCUUUUUCACUCAAUUUUCUUCUUUGCUUUAAGGACAGAAAAUCCCUCACGCAGUGUGGUCCAGGUUAUACUGAACCGUGGAUGUCUCAUGCAGAGCAGUAUCUUAUUCUGCUCAUGACUUACUCAUGUUGCAAAAGCAGGUCCCCAUGCUUAUAUAACAGCACUCAAGAGGAAACUACUAACAAGCCCAUCUGAUGGUUCGUGCCAGCUCUUUUAGUGGAGGCAUGCUGGAUGCAACUGAGCUCCACCUUCUUUGUCAAGCAAAACCUUUGGAAAAUGUCACAGCCUGAAGAAUAUUGAACAUUCAAAAUCUGGCUCCAAAUUUCCUCAUGAACCAAUCUGCUGCUCUGCACCUGUAGAAGGGGACAGGUGGGUUGCUGCAAAGUAGUCUGCAAACCCCUCCUCAGUGAGCCCCACUGUUAGCCAGUCUCUUGACUCUGCAUGAGGCAGUGACUCCUGCUGAGUUCCUUGUUUCUCCAUGAUGUUCUUGUUGAAAGAGGUGAAAUAUCCAGAAAAAAAUUAGAUUCUGUGUGAAAAAAAAGAAGAAGCUGACCAAUAAGCUGCCUAGAAAGCAUCCAGCCUGGAUCUCAGCUGCAAACUGAUGGGGCUUCGUAGGAAGAUCCUGAAGAAGAUAUAGAAGUCCUUUGGUGAGUGUAUACUGAAUUUGUGUUAUAUAAUGAUUUGAAUUUUAUCUGUAACUAUUGCUAAAGAUUCUGAAGUAAAUUAAAAAAACAACAUGUAAG